AUCUGAAAUUGCUGGAUAGUAUUUGAGAUUGUAGUUAGCCUCAAGACCCUGUUUCAGGGAGAACCCCUUGAGGCUACUACAAUAUCAUGAAAUUAUUAAAUUUCUCUGAGAU
Molecule: small nucleolar RNA, 112 nt
Filed under: Nicotiana sylvestris (wood tobacco)
Lineage: Eukaryota; Viridiplantae; Streptophyta; Magnoliopsida; Solanales; Solanaceae
Also listed under: 1 other name
Description: Small nucleolar RNA Z278
Rfam family: Small nucleolar RNA Z278
About the family: snoZ278 is a C/D box small nucleolar RNA. Its methylation guide targets have not been reported.
Source: Rfam by way of RNAcentral